Mauremys reevesii (Reeves's turtle) is the source of this 1769-nucleotide long non-coding RNA. RefSeq lists it as uncharacterized. The transcript has 3 exons. The record is from RefSeq and is a predicted model, not a curated record. NCBI's taxonomy places the organism in Eukaryota, Metazoa, Chordata, Testudines, Geoemydidae.
GCAUCCCUUUCUGGCUCACACAGACAGCAGAGAAGCGGAGACGCUAGAGCACAGCAACUGUGGCUUUCUGUCUAUUUUAGCGCAAAGGAACAGAAACAACCACUCAGCUGAGAGCAGCCACCACUUAUCUGCUGCUUGACCACAGCAAGAGAACAGAGAGAGCAGAUGGGGACUGCAGCUUCCCUUUUACUGAGAACAGAAUGAGCAGAGAUGGUCUGGGAACAGGGAGCCCGAUUUUCUGAUAUCCUGAUCCUUGUACCGUCAUUUGCACCAGUACAAAGUGAGUGUGAAACAUUACCAUCCUCUUUUAGCAGCCCUUUGCCCUGAUGCAAAUACCGCAGCAGGUGCAGGGCAACAACGAUUCAGACCCGGAGAGCCACUGCAGCUCGUCCCUAUCACUGGAGAGAGCAUCUAAACCUCAAGGAGCAAAGCAGAACACAGCAGCGACCAGCUGUGGCUUCCCGUCGGCCUGAAUCCUGCAGACAAGAAGGUGACCCACAGCACCAAGUCACUGCAUUCCUGGGCUGUGAGGAGCAGCAGACAGUGGAGACUGGAGAACAGAGCUAGUCCUUUGUCUGAGACCCAAGGACUUGGAGGAGAUUCAGAGAAGAUCCCUUUGUUCUUGGGGAGCAGAAGCCACUGCAGAAUUUGAAGGCAGUUGAAUAAAUGCUGAUCCCACCAAUGAUUCUCGCACUGUACCUUUGGCUUGUUUCUUUGAGUUUUACAUCCCAGCAGCAGCCGGCCUCCAACUGCAUUUCCUCAUCAGGUUUUGGUCUCUAAUGUGGCUUCUCUGAGAACACUGGCACAGGGCUCAGCUCUUGCAAACUCUUUCGAUUUGUUUUCCUUUUUGUGCAUCAGCUUUUUUUUCCCCUUUGGGAACAUAUUACAGCCCGAGUGACUGAUCUGCUUCAGAAGACCAGCAGCUCAGCUCCCCAAAGAACAGAUAUCUGCUCCCUAGCAUCCAGUAACUCAUGUCAGUCAAGCAAUAGUUAUGACUUUUUUGGAGUAAAUGGCACACGAAAAACACAGAAUUUAAGGCAGAUGAGAAUGUCCAUAUUUCAUAUUUAACAUUAUAUCAAACUAUUUAAUGCAGUGGAGCCUGGACUUGGAGCUGGGCUCUAAUUCUGGCUGUGCAGUCGGGGUGACCUUGGACAAGUCACGGUCCCACUCUGUGACUCGGUUUCCCCAUCUGUAAGCUGUGGAGGAUGACAUGGACCUCCUUUGUAAAGCACUUGGUGAUCUAAGGAGGAAAAGCACUGGGUACAAGCCAACUAUUUUUACUACUGAUGGCCGGAUGCUGCCUCCUCACUACUAACGAGUAGUUCCCUACUCCAUGAGUGGUUGCCUUGAAAUCAGUGGGACUUCUUCAGAUAAGAUGCUAUGAAAUGGGUGACAUUCACUCCUCUGCAGCUCAAGGCCUAUAUUUCACUUAUACAGGGGGUAAGAGGCACAUACGCAGUGCAUAAGCCUUGUGGGAAGCGGUGAAUUUCAUCCCAUGUAAAUAAUGGCUGAACCAUCCACCCUAUAGUCUCUCUCUCCAGUACACAGUAGCUUGCAAACGUGCUUUCAUGUCCCUUCAUACAUACUCCAGAGUUGAUGAUUUGGCCACUUUCCUUCUUUGAAGGAGGCUGCUCUCUUUGGGCUAAUAUAGAUGUGAUGCUACACGUUACAAACUGCCAUGCACUGUGUGAUGCUGGAGAAAUGACUUCACAGACAGGGCCUGCCCACAACAUUUUGGCACCUGAGGUGGGGAGCUCAAAUGACGCCCC